Molecule: non-coding RNA, 29 nt
Filed under: Cricetulus griseus (Chinese hamster)
Lineage: Eukaryota; Metazoa; Chordata; Mammalia; Rodentia; Cricetidae
Source: RNAcentral
GUGGAACUUGAUGACCUGGAGAAGGACGA